UGGGAAUUAAAGAAAUGUCUCCAGGUAGAAGAAGUUUUAUGCUAAUUGGCUGCAUGAUGAUGCUGCUGCUAUUGAUCGAUUCCGAGCCUAUAACAAUGGCUGCACAAGGUAACAAUUAAUUAUGGCUGGUUAGUACGUCUGUUAUACAUAAUAAGACUUUUAAUAAUUUGAAGUCACGUACGUACUACCAAACUUAUUCCAGAUGAUGUGAAGAAGAACAUCGUAAGCAAGAAGAGGAGGGAUAAGGACGUCGGAAUUUUGCAGCAAUCCAAAAGGGCAGCUAAGAGGAGCUUCUCACCCCCAGCUCAUCAUGGCUCCUGUGAUUCCUGUUCCUAGAUUUUAUUUUCCUCCGUUAUAUAUUAUAAUUCCA
RNAcentral lists this long non-coding RNA (370 nucleotides) under Linum usitatissimum (flax). RNAcentral's name for it is "long non-coding RNA (LUSI_LNC006634)". The record is from RNAcentral. Lineage: Eukaryota; Viridiplantae; Streptophyta; Magnoliopsida; Malpighiales; Linaceae.